UGGGGAAUUGUUCGCAAUGGGCGCAAGCCUGACGACGCAACGCCGCGUGGAGGAUGAAGACCUUCGGGUCGUAAACUCCUUUCGAUCGAGACGAAUGGCCUCCGGGUGAAUAAUCCGGAGGAGUGACGGUACCGAGAGAAGAAGCCCCGGCUAACUCCGUGCCAGCAGCCGGGGUAAUACGGGGGGGGCAAGCGUUGUUCGGAAUUACUGGGCGUAAAGGGCUCGUAGGUGGCCAACUAAGUCAGACGUGAAAUCCCUCGGCUUAACCGGGGAACUGCAUCUGAUACUGGAUGGCUUGAGUUUGGGAGAGGGACGCGGAAUUCCAGGUGUAGCGGUGAAAUGCGUAGAUAUCUGGAGGAACACCGGUGGCGAAGGCGGCGUCCUGGACCAAUACUGACACUGAUGAGCGAAAGCCAGGGGAGCAAACGGG
RNAcentral lists this ribosomal RNA (430 nucleotides) under bacterium. RNAcentral's name for it is "partial 16S ribosomal RNA". It matches the Rfam family "Bacterial small subunit ribosomal RNA", at positions 355 to 776 of the family's 1533-position model. The record is from RNAcentral.